GACGAACGCUGGCGGCGUGCUUAACACAUGCAAGUCGAACGGAAAGGCCCUGCUUUUGUGGGGUGCUCGAGUGGCGAACGGGUGAGUAACACGUGAGUAACCUGCCCUUGACUUUGGGAUAACUUCAGGAAACUGGGGCUAAUAUCGGAUAGGAGCUCCUGAUGCAUGGUGGGGGUUGGAAAGAUUCGGCGGUUGGGGAUGGACUCGCGGCUUAUCAGCUUGUUGGUGGGGUAGUGGCUUACCAAGGCUUUGACGGGUAGCCGGCCUGAGAGGGUGACCGGGCACAUUGGUACUGAGGUACGGCCCAGACUCCUACGGGAGGCAGCAGUGGGGAAUAUUGCACAAUGGGCGGAAGCCUGAUGCAGCAACGCCGCGUGCGGGAUGACGGCCUUCGGGUUAUAAACCGCUUUCGCCUGUGACGAAGCGUGAGUGACGGUAAUGGGUAAAGAAGCACCGGCUAACUACGUG
This 468-nucleotide ribosomal RNA is filed under the name uncultured bacterium. Its description in RNAcentral is "partial 16S ribosomal RNA". It matches the Rfam family "Bacterial small subunit ribosomal RNA", at positions 28 to 507 of the family's 1533-position model. The record is from RNAcentral.